GACGAACGCUGGCGGCGUGCUUAACACAUGCAAGUCGAACGGAAAGGCCCUGCUUUUGUGGGGUGCUCGAGUGGCGAACGGGUGAGUAACACGUGAGUAACCUGCCCUUGACUUUGGGAUAACUUCAGGAAACUGGGGCUAAUACCGGAUAGGAGCUCCUGCUGCAUGGUGGGGGUUGGAAAGUUUCGGCGGUUGGGGAUGGACUCGCGGCUUAUCAGCUUGUUGGUGGGGUAGUGGCUUACCAAGGCUUUGACGGGUAGCCGGCCUGAGAGGGUGACCGGCCACAUUGGGACUGAGAUACGGCCCAGACUCCUACGGGAGGCAGCGGUGGGGAAUAUUGCACAGUGGGCGGAAGCCUGAUGCAGCAACGCCGCGUGCGGGAUGACGGCCUUCGGGUUGUGAACCGCUUUCGCCUGUGACGAAGCGUGAGUGACGGUAAUGGGUAAAGAAGCACCGGCUAACUACGUG
Molecule: ribosomal RNA, 468 nt
Filed under: uncultured bacterium
Lineage: Bacteria
Description: partial 16S ribosomal RNA
Rfam family: Bacterial small subunit ribosomal RNA
Source: RNAcentral